CAAACUAAUUAUCAUCGAUACACAGUAGUAAUAAUGUAAAAAUAAGCUUUAAAAAACUACAACACCACUUUACACGUUUAAAAUAAAUACUGUUUUUAAAAUCGAUUAAGUUAGUGAUAUAAAGGUAAAACUGUACAGCAUUCUUACUUAAUCCAAUCCCAAACUACCUUAUGAAUAAUUGUAAUGACCUUUAAAAUUUAACCAAAACCUCUUUAAUACAAGCAAUAAGCAAAAAUCCUAUGAAAAUAGCAUGUCAACUAUCUUGAAUCUAGAGAUCACCAGCCUUCAGCAGAAUCAGACGAAAGAACAAAGGAAAUCACCUUUUAUCACAUUCUCAACAUAAGAAAAGCUAAUAGAGUACACAUAAAAUUAAGUUAUUACAAACGUGAAUGAAAUGAAGAAGCAGGGAAACAAGAAUUCAGUAGCACAAAUUGUUUUCAUCAUGUAUCUUCAUUCACAUUGCAUAUUACACCUCAUAUGUUAGUCAUGGUUCGAAAAAUACCUAGAAUGUAAGAGAAAGAAAACAAAGAGAAUGAAGAAUUAGCAGCAGCAGAAUCAACUCAAAACUCAACAAAACCAGCUUCUUUCACCAAUCUAAAACGCAGAUGAGAACAAAUCUUUGGAGCCCUUUUUCAGAAAUUCUGACUAACAAAGGAACUUUAAGAAUCAAACCAAACAAAUUUCGAAUGAUUUUCAAUAUUUUCAGGAUCUCAAGAUGCUCAGCCAUUUCUAAUUUUUUCAGUUUUUUAAUCUUUAAAAUCUGACUUAAAAGUGAAGAAACAGACCUCUUUAUAGAAGCUUUUUAGGGCAGCAGAAUUGUUUUCAACUUUAUACCAAUUACCCUACUUCAAUUUUUAUUCUUGCAAGUUAGUCCCCAAUUUUAAAUUAUAUUUGUCAAACUACACCCAAACCCCACCUUCCAGGAAGUUUCCCAAAUCAGUUACAAGAGAUUCUCUCAAUCAAAAUUCCUAACUAACCCUUUAAACUUCUAUUAUUUACUCUCAGCAGACCACGUGGGUCAAGACUGACCCAAGACCCAAACAAAAAUGAAUGGGCUUCCCUCAAAACUAGGUCAGGAAUGACUCCAAAGCCCAAUCAAAUGUCCAACCCAAAUCAGAAAUCAUUUUCAGUGAUUUAUGAAAAGUAGAAGAAGAACAACUUAAAUGAUUUCAAAACCAAAAGCCUAUCUAAAUGACUGAUUUUUUAAACUAACAUAAAUAAGCUAGAAUUAAACUAGAUGACCAAAUCAAAACAAACUUAAUUAAAAUAAUUAUAAGACUAGAACAUGAAGGACUCUCAGAUUAAUAUAAUUAAGCUAAUGGACUAAACAAAAAUCAGAAACCAACCGACAUGAAUAACAAAUAAGCAAGGCAAAUGAAUAAUCCAAACAAAAAUCAACAAACAACCUUUAAAAUUGGACAAGAACUGGAAAACACACGGAACAAAUACGACCACAAACCAACCAAGGGAAAGAUCUAGUUUCAUAAUUUGAACCUUUACUAGAUUUCAAAUCAGAAGAAAACUACUUAAAAAAGAGGAGAAGAAAAGAAAAGGAAUAGAAAGUGAAACAAAAAUAGACAGAAAAUAAAAUGAAAGAAAAAACAAUUACCUAAUUAACUUGAACAUCACUGGACGCCUCGAUUUAAAUAAAACCAAUGUUAAUCGUUUGUUCUUUGACAACUCAGAGGUCUGGGCCUUGCAUGCUACAGAUUCGAGGGUAAGGCGAUUUUGGGGUUUAGGGCUUAGACCUUAGAUCUGAAAUUUUAACAGAUGGAGAAGGAUUCGAGGGAAAUGGUUUUGGGUUAUGGAAAGAGGAGAAGCCAGGGGUUGUGGGGUGUGAUUUUGAGGCGGUUUGGGGUUGCGCCGCCACCGGAGGGGGUGAGGACUUUAGGGCGACGGAUUUAGGGUUCAUGGGGUCUCUGAAGGUUAGAGAGUACGAG
This 1940-nucleotide long non-coding RNA is filed under the name Nicotiana tabacum (common tobacco). Its description in RNAcentral is "long non-coding RNA (NTAB_LNC013393)". The record is from RNAcentral. Lineage: Eukaryota; Viridiplantae; Streptophyta; Magnoliopsida; Solanales; Solanaceae.